RNAcentral lists this ribosomal RNA (656 nucleotides) under uncultured bacterium. Its description in RNAcentral is "bacterial SSU rRNA". It matches the Rfam family "Bacterial small subunit ribosomal RNA", at positions 135 to 809 of the family's 1533-position model. The record is from RNAcentral.
ACCGGGGGAUAACAGCUGGAAACGGCUGCUAAUACCGCAUAAGCGCACAGAGCUGCAUGGCUCAGUGUGAAAAACUCCGGUGGUAUGGGAUGGGCCCGCGUCUGAUUAGGCAGUUGGCGGGGUAACGGCCCACCAAACCGACGAUCAGUAGCCGGCCUGAGAGGGCGACCGGCCACAUUGGGACUGAGACACGGCCCAAACUCCUACGGGAGGCAGCAGUGGGGAAUAUUGCACAAUGGGGGAAACCCUGAUGCAGCGACGCCGCGUGAGCGAAGAAGUAUUUCGGUAUGUAAAGCUCUAUCAGCAGGGAAGAUAAUGACAGUACCUGACUAAGAAGCCCCGGCUAACUACGUGCCAGCAGCCGCGGUAAUACGUAGGGGGCAAGCGUUAUCCGGAUUUACUGGGUGUAAAGGGAGCGUAGACGGCAAGGCAAGUCUGAUGUGAAAACCCAGGGCUUAACCCUGGGACUGCAUUGGAAACUGUCUGGCUCGAGUGCCGGAGAGGUAAGCGGAAUUCCUAGUGUAGCGGUGAAAUGCGUAGAUAUUAGGAAGAACACCAGUGGCGAAGGCGGCUUACUGGACGGUAACUGACGUUGAGGCUCGAAAGCGUGGGGAGCAAACAGGAUUAGAUACCCUGGUAGUCCACGCCGUAAACGA